Molecule: ribosomal RNA, 253 nt
Filed under: uncultured bacterium
Lineage: Bacteria
Description: partial 16S ribosomal RNA
Rfam family: Bacterial small subunit ribosomal RNA
Source: RNAcentral
UACGGGGGGGGCAAGCGUUGUUCGGAAUUACUGGGCGUAAAGGGCUCGUAGGUGGUCAACUAAGUCAGAAGUGAAAUCCCUCGGCUUAACCGGGGAACUGCGUCUGAUACUGGAUGGCUUGAGAUUGGGAGAGGGAUGCGGAAUUCCAGGUGUAGCGGUGAAAUGCGUAGAUAUCUGGAGGAACACCGGUGGCGAAGGCGGCAUCCUGGACCAACACUGACACUGAGGAGCGAAAGCCAGGGGAGCAAACGGG